Molecule: long non-coding RNA, 1027 nt
Filed under: Mus pahari (shrew mouse)
Lineage: Eukaryota; Metazoa; Chordata; Mammalia; Rodentia; Muridae
Description: lncRNA (MGP_PahariEiJ_G0003571.1)
Source: RNAcentral
GGUAUUUCUGCUGCUAUUUUCAGUGAAGUCUAUUUAAUUGCCUACUCUUUGCUAGUAGGAAGAAACAAAGUUGGGUUUUGUACAUUUUCUUUUCUGACUUACGCUCUGGCUAAAGUGAAUGAUUGGGUACAGUGGUCAGAUUUUCUACCUAGCUGACGAUGCUGAAUGAAGAUAACGAUAGACUUCCUCUCACCCUGAGCCUUCUGUUCCUUGUGCUUCUGAUGCAGUAACUGGGACCUUGGGAAGAUGGGCCAGAGCAGCGGGGGACAGCAUCCCUGCAGCUUGCCUGAUAGUGGAGGAUUUGAUUGUUACAGAAAUGUGUUAUUACUGAACUUGGUAAAAAGUAUGUCAUGUAUAAACCGAGAUGGUUACCUUUUUUAAAAGACUUACUUAAGUUUAUAAGUACGAGUGUUUUACCCACAUGUGUAUCUGUGUACGACAUGAGGCCAGAAGAGUGUCUGUGACCCCCUGAAACUGGAGUUACUUGGUUGUCAGUUGACACGAGAGUGCUGGGAACUGAACUUGGGUCCUCUGGAAGAGGAGCAAGCACCCUUAAUCACUGAGCCUUCCCUGCAGCCUUAACUUCUAUUUUGUCUAUAGUCAGCCGAGGUAUUUAUUGGCAGUUAACCUCGUGACCCAGUAGAUGGUCCCAUACACAUUCACACAGGGUCAGCACUGAUUGGACUCCGGAAGCUAUUAGUUAUAGGAAUUCAUCAGGGAGGUGGGUUGGUGGGGAAUGGAAGAGUUCAAAGGAAAUAAUAGAGGAGUGUACAUGCGUAAAAUUGUCAAAGAAUAAAUAAAAAUAACAAUAUUGUACGGGAGAGAGGGUUCAGCGCUUAAGAGCAAUGGCUGCUCUCCCAAAGGAACAAUCAUCUGUGAUCCAGUUCCAGGGGAUCCGGUGCCCUCUUCUGCCCUCCAAGGGGGCCAGGCAUGCAUGUGGUCCACAGACACACACGCAGGCAAAAUGUUCAUACACAUAAAAUGAAAUAAAUGAUAGAACAAAGACCAUUAAAAAUAAGUGUGCCGA